RNAcentral lists this ribosomal RNA (253 nucleotides) under uncultured bacterium. RNAcentral's name for it is "partial 16S ribosomal RNA". It matches the Rfam family "Bacterial small subunit ribosomal RNA", at positions 524 to 776 of the family's 1533-position model. The record is from RNAcentral.
AACGUAGGUGGCGAGCGUUAUCCGGAUUUACUGGGCGUAAAGCGUGUGCAGGCGGCUGACCAAGUGGUGUAUGAAAUAUCCAGGCUCAACCUGGAGGGGUUAUGCCAGACUGGUCAGCUAGAGUGCGAGAGAGGGGCGUGGAAUUCCGGGUGUAGUGGUGAAAUGCGUAGAGAUCCGGAGGAACCCCAGAGGCGAAGGCGACUACCUGGCCCAUUCUUGACGCUGAGGCGCGAAAGCUAGGGGAGCGAACGGG